RNAcentral lists this ribosomal RNA (468 nucleotides) under uncultured bacterium. RNAcentral describes it as "partial 16S ribosomal RNA". It matches the Rfam family "Bacterial small subunit ribosomal RNA", at positions 28 to 507 of the family's 1533-position model. The record is from RNAcentral.
GAUGAACGCUGGCGGCGUGCUUAACACAUGCAAGUCGAACGGAAAGGCCCAAGCUUGCUUGGGUACUCGAGUGGCGAACGGGUGAGUAACACGUGGGUGAUCUGCCCUGCACUUCGGGAUAAGCCUGGGAAACUGGGUCUAAUACCGGAUAGGACGAUGGUUUGGAUGCCAUUGUGGAAAGUUUUUUCGGUGUGGGAUGAGCUCGCGGCCUAUCAGCUUGUUGGUGGGGUAAUGGCCUACCAAGGCGUCGACGGGUAGCCGGCCUGAGAGGGUGUACGGCCACAGUGGGACUGAGAUACGGCCCAGACUCCUACGGGAGGCAGCAAUGGGGAAUAUUGCACAAUGGGCGCAAGCCUGAUGCAGCGACGCCGCGUGGGGGAUGACGGCCUUCGGGUUGUAAACUCCUUUCGCUAGGGACGAAGCGUUUUUGUGACGGUACCUGGAGAAGAAGCACCGGCUAACUACGUG